AUUGAACGCUGGCGGCAGGCCUAACACAUGCAAGUCGAGCGGAUGAAGGGAGCUUGCUCCUGGAUUCAGCGGCGGACGGGUGAGUAAUGCCUAGGAAUCUGCCUGGUAGUGGGGGAUAACGUCCGGAAACGGGCGCUAAUACCGCAUACGUCCUGAGGGAGAAAGUGGGGGAUCUUCGGACCUCACGCUAUCAGAUGAGCCUAGGUCGGAUUAGCUAGUUGGUGGGGUAAAGGCCUACCAAGGCGACGAUCCGUAACUGGUCUGAGAGGAUGAUCAGUCACACUGGAACUGAGACACGGUCCAGACUCCUACGGGAGGCAGCAGUGGGGAAUAUUGGACAAUGGGCGAAAGCCUGAUCCAGCCAUGCCGCGUGUGUGAAGAAGGGCUUCGGAUUGUAAAGCACUUUAAGUUGGGAGGAAGGGCAGUAAGUUAAUACCUUGCUGUUUUGACGUUACCAACAGAAUAAGCACCGGCUAACUACGUG
This 484-nucleotide ribosomal RNA is filed under the name uncultured bacterium. RNAcentral describes it as "partial 16S ribosomal RNA". It matches the Rfam family "Bacterial small subunit ribosomal RNA", at positions 30 to 507 of the family's 1533-position model. The record is from RNAcentral.